Molecule: ribosomal RNA, 114 nt
Filed under: Salmonella enterica subsp. enterica serovar Typhi
Lineage: Bacteria; Pseudomonadati; Pseudomonadota; Gammaproteobacteria; Enterobacterales; Enterobacteriaceae
Source: RNAcentral
UUGNGCACUAGCGCGGUGGUCCCACCUGACCCCAUGCCGAACUCAGAAGUGAAACGCCGUAGCGCCGAUGGUAGUGUGGGGUCUCCCCAUGCGAGAGUAGGGAACUGCCAGGCA